UACUACUGAUUUUCUUAGUCUAAUCUAAAACAAGGUAAAUAUCAGGUUGUUUCCUGUAUUAGAUCGAAACAUCUGUAUAUACCUUUGAUCCGGUUGGACAAAAGUGCAUCUUCUAGUG
RNAcentral lists this microRNA precursor (118 nucleotides) under Drosophila simulans. RNAcentral's name for it is "microRNA dsi-mir-963 precursor". Its record names the gene dsi-mir-963. The stretch from base 18 to 99 matches the Rfam family "mir-963 microRNA precursor family". The record is from miRBase by way of RNAcentral. Lineage: Eukaryota; Metazoa; Arthropoda; Insecta; Diptera; Drosophilidae.